Long non-coding RNA from Varroa destructor (honeybee mite), 343 nucleotides. RefSeq lists it as uncharacterized. The record is from RefSeq and is a predicted model, not a curated record. Lineage: Eukaryota; Metazoa; Arthropoda; Arachnida; Mesostigmata; Varroidae.
CGGCCUGGCAUCUACGAAAACUAAUGAAUAACAGUUGACACCAGAUAAUGGCACCAUUCUAAUUUAUUACAAAACAAACGAAAAUGAUUGACGGUCAGCCCUUGCUAGUACAGAACUAGGUGUGGGUAUGGUUGCUUCAAGCCUGAAUCAACACGUGUUUCUAAGUUUGACACCGCUUACGUGACCUCGAAAAGCAGUCCUCUGUUUUCAUCGAUCUAGCCAACUAUCAAACACAAUACGGUAGUACGCACCGUGGGCAGAACAGGUACCCGCAUUUCCGCCUCUUGGAGAGUUGCCGUGCGGCAACUCCCGGUGCUUGCAACAACCCGUCCAUCGAGCCGAC